UAGUUGCUACCAUUAAGUUGAGCACUCUAGUGAGACUGCCACGGUUAACGUGGAGGAAGGUGGGGAUGACGUCAAAUCAUCAUGCCCCUUAUGUCUAGGGCUACACACGUGCUACAAUGGUGAAUACAAAUAGAUGCAAUACCGCGAGGUGGAGCCAAACUAUAAAAUUCAUCCCAGUUCGGAUUGUAGUCUGAAACUCGACUACAUGAAGCCGGAGUUGCUAGUAAUCGCAAAUCAGCAUGUCGCGGUGAAUACGUUCCCGGGCCUUGUACACACCGCCCGUCACACCAUGAGAGCUGGUAACACCCGAAGUCCGUGAGGUAACCGUAAGGAGCCAGCGGCCGAAGGUGGGAUUAGUGAUUGGGGUGAAGUCGUAACAAGGUAGCCGUAGGAGAACCUGCGGCUGGAUCACCUCCUUUCUAGGGA
This 426-nucleotide ribosomal RNA is filed under the name Clostridium sulfidigenes. Its description in RNAcentral is "bacterial SSU rRNA". It matches the Rfam family "Bacterial small subunit ribosomal RNA", at positions 1112 to 1533 of the family's 1533-position model. The record is from RNAcentral. Lineage: Bacteria; Bacillati; Bacillota; Clostridia; Eubacteriales; Clostridiaceae.